Molecule: long non-coding RNA, 1775 nt
Filed under: Fukomys damarensis (Damara mole-rat)
Lineage: Eukaryota; Metazoa; Chordata; Mammalia; Rodentia; Bathyergidae
Description: lncRNA (ENSFDAG00000022886.1)
Source: RNAcentral
UUCCUGGUAUUUGUAAAAGACAUCUUGGAGUAUAAAAGUCAACUAGGUUCAGAAUAAAGAGACAGAAACCAUAGCUGAAUAGAAGCAGAGGCCUUUCAGGGGAGGGAAAAUGCCUAGUCCGUGUUCAUUUAGUCCUUCCCUCACCUCCUGUUUAUUUUUCUUUCGGGCAAAACCUGGUGAGUUUCUUCCAGUUGCCCUAAGUGCAUCAGCCCACAACCUCAAAUCUGUCCGAGCUAUCGUGAGGAAUGGAACCUAACCUCCUUGCCUUCUCUUACCAACCCUGGUGUCCUACCUGUAAACGUUCCUGACAACAUCUGGGGGACUCGAGAUAAAACCGAGGCUUUGCGCGGGAACAGCGGAGUCUAUGCUGCCCUAACAGGACUAACAGACGGAAAAGCGAUCCCCUCCCCGGCCCCGGGCCCCGCGUCCCUGAAGAAGAACGCGCACCGGGUGGAAGCCGCCUCCACGGCUCCUUGCCCUGGCCCCUGCCGAUCGCGACACCGGGGCGGUGACAACGGAGCGACGACACCAGCUCCUUGGCUGGGCUCCGGUCCUUCGGGAAGCUGGGUCCGCGGAGCCACGAAAUCCGGCCUGAGCGCGGCCCAACCUCGCAACAGGGGCCAGUGGAAAGUUCUUGGCUCAUUCCAUACCAGACCCGGGUCCUACUUUCCUCUGGGUCGGGUCCACCGGCUGGAUCCCCCUCGUAGCUUCCGCCUCCAGCCGGGUGCUCUGGGGACACACGCUCGGUGGCUCGGUGGCUCGGUAGAGGCGCAGCGACUCGCGGGAAACCCAGACCGAGGGGACCGAGGAGCGUGGAGGGGCUCACUACCGCCAGAGCAGGAUUCCUAGAAAGAACUCUUCUUCACCACUUGCCAAAAACAAGUCGAAAGAAGUGAAACUCUUGGAAGGAAAAGAGUGUCAGUGACAAAAAUGGAGAGCAGGAAUGAAAGUCCACAGCCUGUGUGGAGGAUCCGGUCCGAUAAAGCAGCAGGGGAGAAAGUGAAUCACAACAGAUAUGCACCUUUACUAAUAACCGCAACAAUACCUUACAGUUACACAACUUUCUUAAAGGAAGCGCAUUUACAAUGAAGGCAUUUCAGCCGGAUGGUGUCAUUCUUCUGCUCAAACCCUCCUAACUUCAGCGGCCAGUUUUCUCUCUUCCUAAGAGGUAAAAUCCUGCUGGUGGCUUACACGGUCCUAAGUGACCCUGUCCUUUUUCCUCUCUGACACGCUGGCUUCUUCAAGCAGUCCUUUGACCCCUGUGCCGCAGCUACUUCCUGAUUUGGCUAUAAGGAGAAAAAAAGAUUUAUCACUUAAACAGAGCAGAAGCAAAAAUCAGCUUGGUGUCAGCUCUUCGCAUCUAGGUCCCACGGUGUGGCAUGACCCCGACUAGAGGGACCAGAUGAACAGACCUUAUGAGCUGUGAGGACGAAGGAGCCCGCAGCUGUAUCCCUGGCGAAGGAGCAGAUGGAGCUGGGAUGGAAAUUUUACACUCAAGGGAAGUUUGGAAGAGGAGAAACUGCCUUGCAGCACUCUCUCACAAACAGGGAUAUCAAACUGCCUCAGGGAUGAAACUUGGGUCCUUGUGCUUGCGAGGCAGGUGGUGGAACCACUGAACUAAAUCCCUGGCCCCCAAAUCGCUUCCUAAGGGCUUCUCACAAGGCCUCCUGUCCCUGCUCCAGAAAGAAUCCCAAGGCCGGGCACCAAGCCUUGGGUCACACCGUGGUGACAUCUUGCAUUCAGGGUACAGUUGCCCAUGAACAAGAUCAUCCGGC